AUGGCAGAGGCAGGGCAGUGCAGGACGUCGGCAGGACCUGUCAGGGUGUCACUUCAUCUCUUGCACACUUUGUUAGAGGCUGACAGCCAGCUUGCCAUUACCAUUGCAGGGCCAAUUAUCUCUGCAUUGCAGGAACAUGCCCCACUUGUCACCCACCCUUCCUCUCCCACCUGCCCUUCCGCUAGGGAUCAUUAUAAUGAUUUUGCACACACGUGCAGCUGCUCAGCUCAGUGGAUUAAACCUCAGCUAUGGGUUCCUCAAACCUGUCACCAUGGGCAGGACUACUGCAGAGCAGAGGAGAAAAAGGGCAGCCCGAGGGAGGAAGCCGACCCCACAGCUCCCCAAAAACGGGGACGAAGGAUGCAGGUGGAAGCACAAAGAGAGGAGGCUGAGGAUCAGCAGUGAGGCACAGGCAUCUUUUCCAGCCCAUCCUCUAAGACAACUAAGGUCUCUCAUCCAGAUGCACGUUCUCCCAUGUUCCCUCUGAGCAAAGGAAGAGCAUUGCUGCUGCAGCCCCUGCCAGCCCUCAGCAGCCCCAGGAACUGAAGCAACUCUGAACAUUCCUGAACAUCCCUUAUUUUUCAGCAAGUUGGGCAAGGCCAGUCUCCUCUGGCAUCUGUGUGUCCAAAUAAGCAAACUUUCUAUAAAUCCUUCCAUAAACAUGUAAUCUGUACUGCAUCAAAGUCUCCUUUGGUAUAAUACCUAAAAGAGGCUUUCACAUGAGAAAAAUAUAGGCCAGUCUCUUGAUGUUUGGUGCUGCAUGGUUAGUCAACUCAAUCUCACUAAUGUCCAAUAAGUAAAGGAUAUUUUUGACAAGUCCUGACUAGGCUGAGAUACACAGAAAAGUAAUAAAACAUAUUUCAAAAAGAGAUCUGUUAUAUUU
Molecule: long non-coding RNA, 883 nt
Filed under: Phasianus colchicus (ring-necked pheasant)
Lineage: Eukaryota; Metazoa; Chordata; Aves; Galliformes; Phasianidae
Description: lncRNA (ENSPCLG00000013052.1)
Source: RNAcentral